UCUAGAUUUCUGGUGUGAUAGUGUAACCCGGCGUGGGGUUCUUUUUUGCUGGUUUUUAAGACCUGCUGAAGGCUUUCCGUGGAUUGCCUGGGGCAUCACCUCGCAUUCAUACUCCCCCUGUUCUUGGAUUGAUUGAGACUACCUACUGCGCCGAACGUGGCCAAGGAUGUUUUCAUUAGAUCCGAACGAAGGUUAGGGGAGGAAGACAAUCAGAUACCGUCUGAUCCUUUUCCAUCCCCUAUGUCUACUACCUGACGGACGGUGUUAUUUUUUGACCAUGCUUUCGCCUUACGAGAAAUUCAAGUGCUUGGGCUCUUCACCGAUGAGGUUGCAUGGCUGAAACCCCGACUGUUGACGGAAGGGCACCACGCGGGGCGGAGCCUGCGGCUUAAUUUGACUCACCACCUAUUAACUCUUCCAUGCAGAAAUCGGAUCCC
This 437-nucleotide ribosomal RNA is filed under the name uncultured fungus. Its description in RNAcentral is "partial 18S ribosomal RNA". It matches the Rfam family "Eukaryotic small subunit ribosomal RNA", at positions 793 to 1238 of the family's 1831-position model. The record is from RNAcentral. Lineage: Eukaryota; Fungi.